AUGUCAGGAGGGGUCGGCGGAGGAGCAUCGGCUGCGGGCGGCGCUGCGCCACCUGCAGGCGGAGGCUGGAGUGCUCGAGUGCCUCGUCUACAAACACCGGAACCAGCACCGCGGUGCCGCCUACUUCCAGUACCUCCUCAAGGUGCGGACCUGAAGCUGCUGCUUGGUGCCCAUCUUGCAGAGUCCAUCAACGCCGUGUUCCCAGUCAUCACCUGUCGUAAACCAGCCAACACUAUUCUUGUUCCAAACAGGCAGGGUAAGAGGAAGCCUGGUGCAAACCAUAGCCACUAUAAGAGGCUUUUGGGGGUUGCCCGUUUGCUGUCCCAGAUGGCUGAACCUGUUAUGAAGGGAGCAGUCCAGAUCAGCUUUUUACUUGCUAGAUCUUUUUUUGUAGAACUUUGCACUGCAGUGCUUGCUUUGCUUGCAAGAGUGAGGGUCCUGACCCAACAGGUGAGCCACAUCAAACCCAUUAGGAGUCGCGUAAAUGGCGCCCUCUGGUGCAUGCCACGUUGA
RNAcentral lists this ribosomal RNA (513 nucleotides) under Triticum aestivum (bread wheat). RNAcentral's name for it is "partial small subunit ribosomal RNA". Lineage: Eukaryota; Viridiplantae; Streptophyta; Magnoliopsida; Poales; Poaceae. The record is from RNAcentral.